RNAcentral lists this ribosomal RNA (522 nucleotides) under uncultured Glomus. Its description in RNAcentral is "SSU rRNA". It matches the Rfam family "Eukaryotic small subunit ribosomal RNA", at positions 569 to 1092 of the family's 1831-position model. The record is from RNAcentral. Lineage: Eukaryota; Fungi; Glomeromycota; Glomeromycetes; Glomerales; Glomeraceae.
AGCAGCCGCGGUAAUUCCAGCUCCAAUAGCGUAUAUUAAAGUUGUUGCAGUUAAAAAGCUCGUAGUUGAAUUUCGGGGUUAGUAGGUUGGUCAUGCCUCUGGUAUGUACUGGUCUCACUGAUUCCUCCUUCCUGAUGAACCUUAAUGCCAUUAAUUUGGUGUUUUGGGGAAUUUGGACUGUUACUUUGAAAAAAUUAGAGUGUUUAAAGCAAGCUAACGCUUGAAUACAUUAGCAUGGAAUAAUGAAAUAGGACGUUCGAUCCUAUUUUGUUGGUUUCUAGGAUUGACGUAAUGAUUAAUAGGGAUAGUUGGGGGCAUUAGUAUUCAAUUGUCAGAGGUGAAAUUCUUGGAUUUAUUGAAGACUAACUACUGCGAAAGCAUUUGCCAAGGAUGUUUUCAUUAAUCAAGAACGAAAGUUAGGGGAUCGAAGACGAUCAGAUACCGUCGUAGUCUUAACCAUAAACUAUGCCGACUAGGGAUCGGAUGGUGUUAAUUUUUUAAUGACUCAUUCGGCGCCUUACG